RNAcentral lists this ribosomal RNA (495 nucleotides) under uncultured bacterium. RNAcentral describes it as "partial 16S ribosomal RNA". It matches the Rfam family "Bacterial small subunit ribosomal RNA", at positions 28 to 507 of the family's 1533-position model. The record is from RNAcentral.
GAUGAACGCUGGCGGCGUGCCUAAUACAUGCAAGUAGAACGCUGAAGGAGGAGCUUGCUCUUCUGGAUGAGUUGCGAACGGGUGAGUAACGCGUAGGUAACCUGCCUGGUAGCGGGGGAUAACUAUUGGAAACGAUAGCUAAUACCGCAUGACAACAGUUAUUGCAUGAUAACUGUUUAAAAGGGGCAACUGCUCCACUACCAGAUGGACCUGCGUUGUAUUAGCUAGUUGGUGAGGUAACGGCUCACCAAGGCGACGAUACAUAGCCGACCUGAGAGGGUGAUCGGCCACACUGGGACUGAGACACGGCCCAGACUCCUACGGGAGGCAGCAGUAGGGAAUCUUCGGCAAUGGACGGAAAUCUGACCGAGCAACGCCGCGUGAGUGAAGAAGGUUUUCGGAUCGUAAAGCUCUGUUGUAAGAGAAGAACGAGUGUGAGAGUGGAAAGUUCACACUGUGACGGUAUCUUACCAGAAAGGGACGGCUAACUACGUG